GAUGAACGCUGGCGGCGUGCCUAAUACAUGCAAGUCGAGCGAACGGACGAUAAGCUUGCUUCUCUGAUGUUAGCGGCAGACGUGUGUGUAACACGUGUAUAACCUACCUAUAAGACUGGGAUAACUUCGGGAAACCGGCGCUAAUACCGUAUAAUAUUUUGAACCGCAGUGUUCAAAAGUGAAAUACGGUCUUGCGGUCACUUAUAGAGGGAUUCGGGCUGCAUUAGCUAGUUGGUAAGUUAACGGCCUACCAAGGCAACGAUGCAUAAACGACCUGAGAGGCUGGUCGGCCACCUUAGAACGGGACCGGGGUCCUUGGUACUGCGGUACGGAGCAGUAGCGUAUCGUACGCAAUGGUGGAAAGCCUUGCGGAGCAACGCCACGUGAGUGAUGAAGGUGUUCGGUGCGUAAAACUCUGUUAUUAGUGAAGAACAUAUGUGUAAGUAACUGUGGACAUCGUGACGGUACCUAAUAAGAAAGCCCCGGCUAACUACGUG
This 497-nucleotide ribosomal RNA is filed under the name uncultured bacterium. Its description in RNAcentral is "partial 16S ribosomal RNA". It matches the Rfam family "Bacterial small subunit ribosomal RNA", at positions 28 to 507 of the family's 1533-position model. The record is from RNAcentral.